AACAGCAGCAGCUUCAGGAGUAUUUGCAUGGCAUGAGGACACCUCCACUCUUUGCCCUCUAGUGUUAAACUCAGGCAUCUUUUCUGUAAUGUGAAAGGAAAGCGUGUUUUCAGCACAGGUGACAUUCUAAAAUUGGGUCUUCCCUGUGAAGAAGAAGAUAGAUGAAGAGAAUGAGGCAAACUUGCUAGCAGUCCUCACAGAGACACUAGACAGUCUCCCUGUGGAUGAAGACGGAUUGCCCUCAUUUGAUGCGCUGACAGAUGGAGACGUGACCACUGACAAUGAGGCUAGUCCUUCCUCCAUGCCUGACGGCACCCCUCCACCCCAGGAGGCAGAAGAGCCGUCUCUAGUAAGAACCCUUCCUACUGUUUAGCAGGAAUUGGAGUUGCCUCUGGCUACCCGCUGCAUGGCUUAAGAAGCUCUUACUGGCACCAGCCAACACUCAGCUAAGUUAUAAUGAAUGCAGUGGUCUCAGUACCCAGAACCAUGCAAAUCACAAUCACAGGAUCAGAACAAACCCUGCAAUUGUUAAGACUGAGAAUUCAUGGAGCAAUAAAGCGAAGAGUAUUUGUCAAC
This 576-nucleotide long non-coding RNA is filed under the name Homo sapiens (human). RNAcentral's name for it is "non-protein coding lnc-PPARGC1A-4:7". Lineage: Eukaryota; Metazoa; Chordata; Mammalia; Primates; Hominidae. The record is from RNAcentral.